Molecule: non-coding RNA, 110 nt
Organism: Acanthosepion pharaonis
Lineage: Eukaryota; Metazoa; Mollusca; Cephalopoda; Sepiida; Sepiidae
Source: the annotation of a GenBank genome assembly
GGCCAGAUAACGUUGAAACAUUGGUUCCUGUACGAUCAGCGAAGUUAAUGAACGUCGAGCCUGGUCAGUAACUAGAUGGAUGACCGCUUGGGAAUACCAGGUGCUGUAAG